CCUACGGGAGGCAGCAGUGAGGAAUAUUGGUCAAUGGCCGAGAGGCUGAACCAGCCAAGUAGCGUGAAGGAUGACUGCCCUACGGGUUGUAAACUUCUUUUAUAAAGGAAUAAAGUGAGGCACGUGUGCCUUUUUGUAUGUACUUUAUGAAUAAGGAUCGGCUAACUCCGUGCCAGCAGCCGCGGUAAUACGGAGGAUCCGAGCGUUAUCCGGAUUUAUUGGGUUUAAAGGGAGCGUAGAUGGGUUGUUAAGUCAGUUGUGAAAGUUUGCGGCUCAACCGUAAAAUUGCAAUUGAUACUGGCAGCCUUGAGUACAGUUGAGGUAGGCGGAAUUCGUGGUGUAGCGGUGAAAUGCUUAGAUAUCACGAAGAACUCCGAUUGCGAAGGCAGCUUACUAAACUGCCACUGACAUUGAUGCUCGAAAGUGUUGGUAUCAAACAGGAUUAGAUACCCGAGUAGUC
This 460-nucleotide ribosomal RNA is filed under the name uncultured bacterium. RNAcentral describes it as "partial 16S ribosomal RNA". It matches the Rfam family "Bacterial small subunit ribosomal RNA", at positions 338 to 795 of the family's 1533-position model. The record is from RNAcentral.